UAUGCUUUUUAGGUAUAUUGAUGGACGACUCUGAAAUAAAGGAGCUUAUUAUUCUAACUGGGAAAUAUGCCACAAUUUAAAGCUGGGACAGAAUGAUAUAAUAUAUAGCUUCAGAACAAUAUUAAGAAAGGAGUUAUUAACCAACUGCGGGGCCUUCCAAAAAUGGUAGAACUUCAUACAUUGAAUUGCUGAUAUACAAAGUGCUAUUAACAAAAGAAGGAAAAUUUAAGGAAGUUGGAUUUGCCUCUCCAUCCUUUUAUUGUUGUAUAGAAGCCAGUGGUUUAAGAGUGGAGAAAAUAUUUUUUGUAUGUAAUAAUAACGUUUUAUAUCUUGUUUUAUUAAUAAAUAAUGAUUUUACCUUAACAUAA
This 368-nucleotide long non-coding RNA is filed under the name Diabrotica virgifera virgifera (western corn rootworm). RNAcentral describes it as "uncharacterized LOC126879852". Lineage: Eukaryota; Metazoa; Arthropoda; Insecta; Coleoptera; Chrysomelidae. The record is from RNAcentral.